Molecule: ribosomal RNA, 500 nt
Filed under: uncultured Glomeromycotina
Lineage: Eukaryota; Fungi; Glomeromycota
Description: partial small subunit ribosomal RNA
Rfam family: Eukaryotic small subunit ribosomal RNA
Source: RNAcentral
CCAAUAGCGUAUAUUAAAGUUGUUGCAGUUAAAAAGCUCGUAGUUGAAUUUCGGGAUCAGUAGGUCGGUCGUGCCACUGGUAUGCACUGGUCUCACUGGUUCCUCCUUCUUGAAGAACCGUAAUGUCAUUAACUUGGUGUUGCGGGGAAACAGGACUGUUACCUUGAAAAAAUUAGAGUGCUUAAAGCAGGCAAGCGCCUGAAUACAUUAGCAUGGAAUAAUGAAAUAGGACGUUCGAUCCUAUUUUGUUGGUUUCUAGGAUUGACGUAAUGAUUAAUAGGGAUAGUUGGGGGCAUUAGUAUUCAAUUGUCAGAGGUGAAAUUCUUGGAUUUAUUGAAGACUAACUACUGCGAAAGCAUUUGCCAAGGAUGUUUUCAUUAAUCAAGAACGAAAGUUAGGGGAUCGAAGACGAUCAGAUACCGUCGUAGUCUUAACCAUAAACUAUGCCGACUAGGGAUCGGAUGAUGUUAAUUUUUUAAUGACUCAUUCGGCGCCUUACG